GGUCCCGUAGCUUAACUGAAUAGAGCAUCUGACUACGGAUCAGAAGGUUGGGGGUUUGAAUCCCUUCGGGAUCACAA
RNAcentral lists this transfer RNA (77 nucleotides) under Bacteroidales bacterium. RNAcentral's name for it is "tRNA-Arg". It matches the Rfam family "tRNA". From Rfam's summary of the family: Transfer RNA (tRNA) molecules are approximately 80 nucleotides in length. Their secondary structure includes four short double-helical elements and three loops (D, anti-codon, and T loops). The record is from RNAcentral. Lineage: Bacteria; Pseudomonadati; Bacteroidota; Bacteroidia; Bacteroidales.